CGAGUGCCCCGAGCGUUAUCCGGAAUUAUUGGGCGUAAAGGGUGUGUAGGUGGUUGUAUAGUCUUCUGUUAAAUUCUUCGGCUUAACCGGGGGCAUGCAGAAGAGACGGUACAACUAGAGGAUGCGAGAGGUGAAUGGAACUCAUGGAGUAGGGGUGAAAUCCGUUGAUAUCAUGGGGAACACCAAAUGCGAAGGCAAUUCACUGGCGCACUCCUGACACUGAAACACGAAAGCGUAGGUAGCGAAGAGGAUUAGAUACCCUCGUAGUCUACGCCCUAAACGAUCCGGACUGGGUUUUCGGAGUAUCGACCCUCUGAGAGCCGAAGCUAACGCGUUAAGUCUGGCGCCUGGGUAGUACGGCCGCAAGGCUA
This 371-nucleotide ribosomal RNA is filed under the name uncultured organism. RNAcentral describes it as "bacterial SSU rRNA". It matches the Rfam family "Bacterial small subunit ribosomal RNA", at positions 526 to 896 of the family's 1533-position model. The record is from RNAcentral.